CGGGUGAGUAAUGUCUGGGAAACUGCCUGAUGGAGGGGGAUAACUACUGGAAACGGUAGCUAAUACCGCAUAACGUCGCAAGACCAAAGAGGGGGACCUUCGGGCCUCUUGCCAUCGGAUGUGCCCAGAUGGGAUUAGCUAGUAGGUGGGGUAACGGCUCACCUAGGCGACGAUCCCUAGCUGGUCUGAGAGGAUGACCAGCCACACUGGAACUGAGACACGGUCCAGACUCCUACGGGAGGCAGCAGUGGGGAAUAUUGCACAAUGGGCGCAAGCCUGAUGCAGCCAUGCCGCGUGUAUGAAGAAGGCCUUCGGGUUGUAAAGUACUUUCAGCGGGGAGGAAGGGAGUAAAGUUAAUACCUUUGCUCAUUGACGUUACCCGCAGAAGAAGCACCGGCUAACUCCGUGCCAGCAGCCGCGGUAAUACGGAGGGUGCAAGCGUUAAUCGGAAUUACUGGGCGUAAAGCGCACGCAGGCGGUUUGUUAAGUCAGAUGUGAAAUCCCCGGGCUCAACCUGGGAACUGCAUCUGAUACUGGCAAGCUUGAGUCUCGUAGAGGGGGGUAGAAUUCCAGGUGUAGCGGUGAAAUGCGUAGAGAUCUGGAGGAAUACCGGUGGCGAAGGCGGCCCCCUGGACGAAGACUGACGCUCAGGUGCGAAAGCGUGGGGAGCAAACAGGAUUAGAUACCCUGGUAGUCCACGCCGUAAACGAUGUCGACUUGGAGGUUGUGCCCUUGAGGCGUGGCUUCCGGAGCUAACGCGUUAAGUCGACCGCCUGGGGAGUACGGCCGCAAGGUUAAAACUCAAAUGAAUUGACGGGGGCCCGCACAAGCGGUGGAGCAUGUGGUUUAAUUCGAUGCAACGCGAAGAACCUUACCUGGUCUUGACAUCCACGGAAGUUUUCAGAGAUGAGAAUGUGCCUUCGGGAACCGUGAGACAGGUGCUGCAUGGCUGUCGUCAGCUCGUGUUGUGAAAUGUUGGGUUAAGUCCCGCAACGAGCGCAACCCUUAUCCUUUGUUGCCAGCGGUCCGGCCGGGAACUCAAAGGAGACUGCCAGUGAUAAACUGGAGGAAGGUGGGGAUGACGUCAAGUCAU
This 1093-nucleotide ribosomal RNA is filed under the name Escherichia coli. RNAcentral's name for it is "bacterial SSU rRNA". It matches the Rfam family "Bacterial small subunit ribosomal RNA", at positions 103 to 1193 of the family's 1533-position model. Lineage: Bacteria; Pseudomonadati; Pseudomonadota; Gammaproteobacteria; Enterobacterales; Enterobacteriaceae. The record is from RNAcentral.